Mirounga angustirostris (Northern elephant seal) is the source of this 931-nucleotide long non-coding RNA. RefSeq lists it as uncharacterized. The record is from RefSeq and is a predicted model, not a curated record. Lineage: Eukaryota; Metazoa; Chordata; Mammalia; Carnivora; Phocidae. The transcript has 4 exons.
UUGGUAGAGUGUGCGACUCUUGAUCUCGGGGUCUUAAGUGCCAGCCCCAUGUUGGGUAGACAGAUUACUCAAAAAACAAAAGCAGAAACAAAUAGAAGUAAAAAAAAAUUCCUCCUCUAAGAAUGACUGAUCACACUGAUUUUUAAAAUAGAACAGGAGGGGCGCCUGGGUGGCUCAGUCGUUAAGCGUCUGCCUUCGGCUCAGGUCAUGAUCCCAGAGUCCUGAGAUCAAGCCCUGCAUCGGGCUCCCUGCUCAGCGGGCAGUCUGCUUCUCCCUCUGCCUCUCCCACCAGCUUGUGCUCUCUCUCUCUCAAAUAAAUAAAUAAAAUCUUAAAAAAGUAAGAUAAAACGACAACAUGACUCUAGUUUCUUAACUUGCUUAGUAUAAAGUUCCCAAUAUCAUGGGGGCAGUAAAAGAACAAAAGAAUGGGAACUGUGACAAGCACAGCGCUGGAGACACAGGGCUUAUAAAGAAAACCAUGAAGCAAGCAGUGUUCUUCAGUUACUAGAGGAGCAGAGAAGCCCCGAGUACCUGAGACAUGGUAUAGAACUCCACCAUCGCGGCCGUGAGCGGCUCCGCGUACGUGCGCAGGGACGGGAUGAGCCUCAGCAUGGCCCGGUUGAAGGUGCCAUAGAUCUGCGUCAGGGAGGCGGGUCCCGGGUAAUCCACAUACACAACAGGCACGUGACGCAAGAAUCUGUGUGAGGACAGGCAGCUCAGCCACUCCAGGGAAGGAGAGUGUGUUUUCCUGGGAUUGCAGCACAGCGAAAGGAGCCCAGGGGCCACCCUAUGGUGCGUGUGAGGCCUGCGCAGUCUACAAAGCUGUUACCUGUGAGAGAGGGGCUUUCUUCCAGGAUCAGUGGGUGGAUUACAAGCCCCGACAAACUGGAUUCUCUCCAGCUUCACCCAUGUUUGAUCUGAGGUUCGGUAA